UACGUAGAAGACUAGUGUUAUUCAUCUUUAGUAGGUUUAAAGGGUACCUAGACGGUAUAACUAGCCCAAAACAGGGUACAGUUUUACUAGAGUUUUAUAUGAGAAGGGGAGUAUUUAUGGAGUAGAGAUAAAAUUCUUUGAUCCCAUAACGACUGGUAGCGGCGAAAGCAACCUUCUAUCUAAUAACUGACGUUGAGGGACGAAGGCCUGGGUAGCAAACAGG
Molecule: ribosomal RNA, 223 nt
Filed under: uncultured Leotiomycetes
Lineage: Eukaryota; Fungi; Ascomycota; Leotiomycetes
Description: partial small subunit ribosomal RNA
Rfam family: Bacterial small subunit ribosomal RNA
Source: RNAcentral